Molecule: ribosomal RNA, 492 nt
Filed under: uncultured bacterium
Lineage: Bacteria
Description: partial 16S ribosomal RNA
Rfam family: Bacterial small subunit ribosomal RNA
Source: RNAcentral
AGUGAACGCUGGCGGUAGGCCUAACACAUGCAAGUCGAACGGCAGCACAGUAAGAGUGUGCUCUUACGGGGGGCGAGUGGCGGGCGGAUGAGGAAAGUAUCCUAAUCUACUCUUUCGGGGGGGUUAACGAAGGUAAACUUAAUCCAAUACCGCAUAUCAUCUACCGGGGAAAGCAUGGGAUCUUUUGACCGUUCGGGAUUGAAUGAGCCGAUGUCGGAUUAGUUAGUUGGCGGGGUAAUGGCCUACCAAGGGGGGGAUCCGUAGCUGGUCUGAGAGGAUGGUCGGCGACACUGGAGCUGAGACACGGUCCAGGCUCCUACGGGAGGCAGCAGUGGGGAAUAUUGGACAAUAGUCGGGAGCAUGGUCCAGCCAGACCGCGUGGGUGGAGGAGGCGUUCCGGUUGUAAAGCCCUUUUGUUGGGAAAGAAAAGCAGCAGGUUAAUACGAAGCUGUUGUGACGGUACCCGAAGAAUAAGCACCGGCUAACUUCGUG